RNAcentral lists this transfer RNA (73 nucleotides) under Cordylochernes scorpioides. RNAcentral's name for it is "tRNA-Thr". It matches the Rfam family "tRNA". From Rfam's summary of the family: Transfer RNA (tRNA) molecules are approximately 80 nucleotides in length. Their secondary structure includes four short double-helical elements and three loops (D, anti-codon, and T loops). Lineage: Eukaryota; Metazoa; Arthropoda; Arachnida; Pseudoscorpiones; Chernetidae. The record is from RNAcentral.
UCCAGGGUAGCCUAGUGGACAUGGCAUCUGCCCGGUAAGCGGAAGGUCGUGGGUUCGUUUCCCAUCCCUGGAC